This 497-nucleotide ribosomal RNA is filed under the name uncultured bacterium. RNAcentral describes it as "partial 16S ribosomal RNA". It matches the Rfam family "Bacterial small subunit ribosomal RNA", at positions 28 to 507 of the family's 1533-position model. The record is from RNAcentral.
GAUGAACGCUGGCGGCGUGCCUAAUACAUGCAAGUCGAGCGAACAGACGAGGAGCUUGCUCCUCUGACGUUAGCGGCGGACGGGUGAGUAACACGUGGAUAACCUACCUAUAAGACUGGGAUAACUUCGGGAAACCGGAGCUAAUACCGGAUAAUAUAUUGAACCGCAUGGUUCAAUAGUGAAAGACGGUUUUGCUGUCACUUAUAGAUGGAUCCGCGCCGCAUUAGCUAGUUGGUAAGGUAACGGCUUACCAAGGCAACGAUGCGUAUCCGACCUGAGAGGGUGAUCGGCCACACUGGAACUGAGACACGGUCCAGACUCCUACGGGAGGCAGCAGUAGGGAAUCUUACGCAAUGGGCGAAAGCCUGACGGAGCAACGCCGCGUGAGUGAUGAAGGUCUUCGGAUCGUAAAACUCUGUUAUUAGGGAAGAACAAAUGUGUAAGUAAAUAUGCACGUCUUGACGGUACCUAAUCAGAAAGCCACGGCUAACUACGUG